Molecule: ribosomal RNA, 492 nt
Filed under: uncultured bacterium
Lineage: Bacteria
Description: partial 16S ribosomal RNA
Rfam family: Bacterial small subunit ribosomal RNA
Source: RNAcentral
AGUGAACGCUGGCGGUAGGCCUAACACAUGCAAGUCGAACGGCAGCACAGUAAGAGCUUGCUCUUACGGGUGGCGAGUGGCGGACGGGUGAGGAAUACAUCGGAAUCUACUUUUUCGUGGGGGAUAACGUAGGGCCACUUACGCUAAUACCGCAUACGACCUACGGGUGAAAGCAGGGGAUCUUCGGACCUUGCGCGAUUGAAUGAGCCGAUGUCGGAUUAGCUAGUUGGCGGGGUAAAGGCCCACCAAGGCGACGAUCCGUAGCUGGUCUGAGAGGAUGAUCAGCCACACUGGAACUGCGACACGGUCCAGACUCCUACGGGAGGCAGCAGUGGGGAAUAUUGGACAAUGGGCGCAAGCCUGAUCCAGCCAUACCGCGUGGGUGAAGAAGGCCUUCGGGUUGUAAAGCCCUUUUGUUGGGAAAGAAAAGCAGCAGGUUAAUACCCCGCUGUUCUGACGGUACCCAAAGAAUAAGCACCGGCUAACUUCGUG